Molecule: ribosomal RNA, 327 nt
Filed under: uncultured Glomeromycotina
Lineage: Eukaryota; Fungi; Glomeromycota
Description: LSU rRNA
Source: RNAcentral
CAGUCGUACUAACGGGAAAUCAACCUUUUGGAGUCGUGAAUUUUGGAUUCUUCUGAGAGGAUCGGAUUCAAAUAUUUGCACUUUUUAGGCGUAAUUUCUCGUUCAGUAGGUUAACAUCGAUUUUGAACAUUAUAAAAUGAUCGGAGGAAUGUAGCUUCGGUCUCGUAUUGAAGUGUUAUAGCCUUUGGUAGAUGUAAUGAUCGAGAUCGAGGGUUGCAACGAAUACCCUUUUGGGCUAUCCGUCUGAUCUCUGAUACGUUGCCUCGGUAUCGAAAGCGUGCUUACGGUAUUGAGGUAUUACGGUCAAAAGGUUAGAACGUGAUUACA